UACAGAGGUCUCAAGCGUUGUUCGGAACCACUGGGCGUAAAGGGUGCGUAGGCCGCACGGAAAGUCAGAGGUGAAAUCCCGGAGCUCAACUUCGGAAUUGCCUCCGAUACUCCCGUGCUUGAGGACUGGAGAGGAGUCUGGAAUUCACAGUGGAGCAGUGAAAUGCGUAGAUAUUGUGAGGAACACUAGUGGCGAAGGCGAGACUCUGGACAGUUCCUGACGCUGAGGCACGAAGGCCAGGGGAGCAAACGGG
Molecule: ribosomal RNA, 253 nt
Filed under: uncultured bacterium
Lineage: Bacteria
Description: partial 16S ribosomal RNA
Rfam family: Bacterial small subunit ribosomal RNA
Source: RNAcentral